AUGCAGAGACAUUCACAGUGCCAGUGCGCCGCGCGCCUGCCAGGCGUCGUUUCGCAUCGCUGCCAGGCCUCGUGCUCUGCUCUCCUUGUGCUAUGGAUGAAAGAAAGCAUUUCAUUUUACGUCACGGCUGGACGUAAAAGAACGAAGCGGCAGAGGUCUACGGCUGCAGGAUUUCUCCAGGGAACAUCUUGCCGUCACGCUUCACUGGAGUCUGAAGAGCGCCAGGGAAACCCUGACUGCAGGAGCGGGACGAGAGCUGAGACGAGAAAAGAGACAGAGCGUGAGGGAAUGAACGCAGCGGCGCGUGUGUGCGCGAGGCUCUGUGGGAGAGAAACAGACAGUGCUUUAGGGAGUAGCAAAGAUGACAGAACACUCAAGAAUGACUCACAGAUGGAGAACGCACAUGAAGACGAGGGCUUGGAAAGGGGAAGCCAGCGAACAGCGUGAGCAGUGCAGUGCUGGAGCAUAUGAGGGCAAGAAGGACUCCCACACACACACACACACACACACACACACACACACACACACACACACACACACACACACACACACACACACACGUUAAGAGCAUACCAGCACUGUGUGUGCGUUAAGAAGGUUGGGUUUCUAAAUGACAGAUCAUUAUCAUGCUAAUUAAAGCAUUUUGUAGCUGUGACUCGUGCAGUAUUUGUGUGUGUGUGUGUGUCUAAUUAAGGCCGGUUCAUCAGCGCCCAGCUCAUUUACACCAUGCUAGAGCGACACCCUGAUUCAAGCACACGGACAGUAAUGAAGCUACUAAUUAUUAUGGCACUUUAACAUAUUUAGCCUUAACUGAGCCAACCCUGAACAGCUGAACCACCUCAACUGAACCAUGAACCCAACAAAGCUUCAGUAGUUCAACACAACCUAGCACAGCUGAGCCACCCAAACACAAUCCAACACAUGCAGAUAAACACGUCUACACGUCUGAACUACACCAAAACAUUUCCUUUUUUGGACUACAAAAAGGCUUUCAUGAACAAAAUGCACCCAGCAUGUCCCAAAUUCAAUUCAUCCACAAAAUGCAUGCAUUUUAUGAUAUGCUUAACAAUACACAAUGUUCUACAUUUGAAGAAGAUCAAUCUAGUUUUCAUGUUUUUUUU
This is a long non-coding RNA of Cyprinus carpio (common carp), 1121 nucleotides long. Lineage: Eukaryota; Metazoa; Chordata; Actinopteri; Cypriniformes; Cyprinidae. The record is from Ensembl.